UGGGGAAUUUUGGACAAUGGGCGCAAGCCUGAUCCAGCCAUGCCGCGUGAGUGAAGAAGGCCUUCGGGUUGUAAAGCUCUUUCGGAAGGGAAGAAAAGGCGGGCUCUAACAUAGCCUGUCGAUGACGGUACCGUAAGAAGAAGCACCGGCUAACUACGUGCCAGCAGCCGCGGUAAUACGUAGGGUGCGAGCGUUAAUCGGAAUUACUGGGCGUAAAGCGUGCGCAGGCGGUUUUGUAAGACAGAUGUGAAACCCCCGGGCUUAACCUGGGAACUGCGUUUGUGACUGCAAGGCUUGAGUACGGCAGAGGGGGGUGGAAUUCCACGUGUAGCAGUGAAAUGCGUAGAGAUGUGGAGGAACACCGAUGGCGAAGGCAGCCCCCUGGGCCUGUACUGACGCUCAUGCACGAAAGCGUGGGGAGCAAACA
This 427-nucleotide ribosomal RNA is filed under the name uncultured bacterium. RNAcentral describes it as "bacterial SSU rRNA". It matches the Rfam family "Bacterial small subunit ribosomal RNA", at positions 355 to 774 of the family's 1533-position model. The record is from RNAcentral.